GUUGUGAGUGCCGGGUCGCGCCUGCCAUCCUUCUAGACAGCGGUUCUACCCCUCACGGGGCCGGAGCUUGCCAUCUAGAUCUUUUACUUUGAAAAAAUUAGAGUGUUUCAAGCAGCUUUUGCUAUGAAUACAUUAGCAUGGAAUAAUCAACUAGGACUUCGGUUCUAUUUGUUGGUUUCUAGGACUGAAGUAAUGAUUGAUAGGGAUAGUUGGGGGGUGCUAGUAUUCAGCGGCCAGAGGUGAAAUUCUCGGAUUCGCUGAAGACUAACUAAUGCGAAAGCAUUCGCCAAGGAUGUCUUCUUUAAUCAAGAACGAAAGUUGGGGGAUCGAAGACGAUCAGAUACCGUCGUAGUCUCAACCAUAAACUAUGCCGACUAGGGAUGAGUGAACGUUGCAUUUUCGACUUCAUUCGCACCUUAUGAGAAAUCAAAGUCCUUGGGUUCCGGGGGGAGUAUGGUCGCAAGGCUGAAACUUAAAGGAAUUGACGGAAGGGCACCACCAGGAGUGGAGCCUGCGGCUUAAUUUGACUCAACACGGGGAAACUUACCAGGUCCAGACACAGUGAGGAUUGACAGAUUGAAGAUCUUUCUUAAUUCUGUGGGUGGUGGUGCAUGGCCGUUCUUAGUUGGUGGAGUGAUUUGUCUGGUUAAUUCCGUUAACGAACGAGACCUCGACCUGCUAACUAGUAAAAUCGACUUUCGGGUCGAUUUCAGACUUCUUAGAGGGACUAUCGG
RNAcentral lists this ribosomal RNA (734 nucleotides) under uncultured eukaryote. RNAcentral's name for it is "SSU rRNA". It matches the Rfam family "Eukaryotic small subunit ribosomal RNA", at positions 720 to 1426 of the family's 1831-position model. The record is from RNAcentral.